RNAcentral lists this ribosomal RNA (451 nucleotides) under uncultured bacterium. RNAcentral's name for it is "bacterial SSU rRNA". It matches the Rfam family "Bacterial small subunit ribosomal RNA", at positions 340 to 784 of the family's 1533-position model. The record is from RNAcentral.
UACGGAAGGCAGCAGUGGGGAAUAUUGCACAAUGGGCGCAAGCCUGAUGCAGCCAUGCCGCGUGUAUGAAAAAGGCCUUCGGGUUGUAAAGUACUUUCAGUCGUGAGGAAGGUGUUAAGGUUAAUAACCUUAGCAAUUGACGUUAGCGACAGAAGAAGCACCGGCUAACUCCGUGCCAGCAGCCGCGGUAAUACGGAGGGUGCGAGCGUUAAUCGGAAUUACUGGGCGUAAAGGGCACGCAGGCGGUUAAUUAAGUUGGAUGUGAAAUCCCCGGGCUUAACCUGGGAAUGGCAUUCAAGCUGGUUAGCUAGAGUCUUGUAGAGGGGGUAGAAUUCCAUGUGUAGCGGUGAAAUGCGUAGAGAUGUGGAGGAAUACCGGUGGCGAAGGCGGCCCCUGGACAAAGGCUGACGCUCAUGUGCGAAAGCGUGGGGAGCGAAACAGGGAUUAGAUA